RNAcentral lists this ribosomal RNA (418 nucleotides) under uncultured Methanomicrobiales archaeon. Its description in RNAcentral is "bacterial SSU rRNA". It matches the Rfam family "Archaeal small subunit ribosomal RNA", at positions 878 to 1295 of the family's 1478-position model. The record is from RNAcentral. Lineage: Archaea; Methanobacteriati; Methanobacteriota; Methanomicrobia; Methanomicrobiales.
ACCACAACAGGUGGAGCCUGCGGUUUAAUCGGAUUCAACGCCGGGAAACUCACCGGACCCGACAGCUGAAUGAUAGUCGGGCUGAAGACUCUACUUGAUUAGCUGAGAGGAGGUGCAUGGCCGUCGUCAGUUCGUACUGUGAAGCAUCCUGUUAAGUCAGGCAACGAGCGAGACCCACGCCAACAGUUGCCAGCUCGUCCUCCGGGAUGGUGGGGACACUGUUGGGACCGCCUCUGCUAAAGAGGAGGAAGGAAUGGGCAACGGUAGGUCAGCAUGCCCCGAAUUGUCCGGGCUACACGCGGGCUACAAUGGGUGGGACAAUGGGUAUCGACACCGAGAGGUGAAGGCAAUCUCCUAAACCCAUCCUUAGUUCGGAUUGUGGGCUGUAACUCGCCCACAUGAAGCUGGAAUCUGUAGU